UAUAAGAGGUCCAGCCUGCCCAGUGACCGCAAGUUAAACGGCCGCGGUAUUUUGACCGUGCAAAGGUAGCGCAAUCACUUGUCUUUUAAAUAAAGACCUGUAUGAAUGGCUAAACGAGGGCUUAACUGUCUCCCAUUUCAAGUCAGUGAAAUUGAUCUAUCCGUGCAGAAGCGGGUAUAAUAAUACAAGACGAGAAGACCCUUUGGAGCUUAAGGCGUAAAACUCAACCACGUUAAGCAACUCAAUAAAAAGCAAAUUUAAACUUUGUGGUAAAUGAGACCACUGCCUUCGGUUGGGGCGACCACGGAGAAAAAGAAAGCCUCCAAGUGGAAUGGGGAAGUAUCCCUAAAACCAAGAGAGACAUCUCUAAGCUACAGAACAUCUGACCAUAAAUGAUCCGGCCAACCAAUGACCGAUCAACGAACCAAGUUACCCUAGGGAUAACAGCGCAAUCCUCUCCCAGAGUCCAUAUCGACGAGGGGGUUUACGACCUCGAUGUUGGAUCAGGACAUCCUAAUGGUGCAGCCGCUAUUAAGGGUUCGUUUGUUCAACGAUUAAAGUCCUACGUGA
Molecule: ribosomal RNA, 570 nt
Filed under: Enteromius baudoni
Lineage: Eukaryota; Metazoa; Chordata; Actinopteri; Cypriniformes; Cyprinidae
Description: partial 16S ribosomal RNA
Rfam family: Bacterial large subunit ribosomal RNA
Source: RNAcentral